This 1094-nucleotide ribosomal RNA is filed under the name Fomitopsis malicola. RNAcentral describes it as "eukaryotic LSU rRNA". It matches the Rfam family "Eukaryotic large subunit ribosomal RNA", at positions 1 to 1078 of the family's 3401-position model. The record is from RNAcentral. Lineage: Eukaryota; Fungi; Basidiomycota; Agaricomycetes; Polyporales; Fomitopsidaceae.
UUUGACCUCAAAUCAGGUAGGGUUACCCGCUGAACUUAAGCAUAUCAAUAAGCGGAGGAAAAGAAACUAACAAGGAUUCCCCUAGUAACUGCGAGUGAAGCGGGAAAAGCUCAAAUUUAAAAUCUGGCGGUCUUUGGCCGUCCGAGUUGUAGUCUGGAGAAGUGCUUUCCGCGCUGGACCGUGUACAAGUCUCUUGGAACAGAGCGUCAUAGAGGGUGAGAAUCCCGUCUUUGACACGGACUACCAGUGCUUUGUGAUGCGCUCUCAAAGAGUCGAGUUGUUUGGGAAUGCAGCUCAAAAUGGGUGGUAAAUUCCAUCUAAAGCUAAAUAUUGGCGAGAGACCGAUAGCGAACAAGUACCGUGAGGGAAAGAUGAAAAGCACUUUGGAAAGAGAGUUAAACAGUACGUGAAAUUGCUGAAAGGGAAACGCUUGAAGUCAGUCGCGUUGGCCAGGACUCAGCCUUGCUUUUUGGCUUGGUGCAUUUUCUGGUUGACGGGCCAGCAUCGAUUUUGACUGUCGGAAAAAGGCUGGGGGAAUGUGGCACCUUCGGGUGUGUUAUAGCUCUCAGUCACAUACGGCAGUUGGGAUCGAGGACCGCAGCACGCCUUUAUGGCCGGGGUUCGCCCACGUUCGUGCUUAGGAUGCUGGCGUAAUGGCUUUAAACGACCCGUCUUGAAACACGGACCAAGGAGUCUAACAUGCCUGCGAGUGUUUGGGUGGAAAACCCGAGCGCGUAAUGAAAGUGAAAGUUGAGAUCCCUGUCGUGGGGAGCAUCGACGCCCGGACCUGAACUUCGGUGAUGGCUCUGCGGUAGAGCAUGUAUGUUGGGACCCGAAAGAUGGUGAACUAUGCCUGAAUAGGGUGAAGCCAGAGGAAACUCUGGUGGAGGCUCGUAGCGAUUCUGACGUGCAAAUCGAUCGUCAAAUUUGGGUAUAGGGGCGAAAGACUAAUCGAACCAUCUAGUAGCUGGUUCCUGCCGAAGUUUCCCUCAGGAUAGCAGAAACUCGUAUCAGAUUUAUGUGGUAAAGCGAAUGAUUAGAGGCCUUGGGGUUGAAACAACCUUAACCUAUUCUCAAACUUUAAAUAUGUAAGA